RNAcentral lists this unclassified non-coding RNA (263 nucleotides) under soil metagenome. RNAcentral's name for it is "partial contains small subunit ribosomal RNA, internal transcribed spacer 1, and 5.8S ribosomal RNA". The record is from RNAcentral.
UUUCCGUAGGUGAACCUGCGGAAGGAUCAUUACCGAGUUAGGGUCCUCUGGGCCCGAUCUCCCAACCCUUUGUUUAUUAUACCUUUUGUUGCUUCGGCGAGCCCGUUGUCUCACGACGACCGCCGGAGGACCGCUUAACGGCGUCCUCUGGUCCGCGCCCGCCGAUGGCCCCAAAAUCUCAAAAUUCUUGUAUGAAUCGUGUCUUUACCUAAGUCUUGAUUUAAUCAAAAACAAAACUUUCAACAACGGAUCUCUUGGUUCUG